UGGUCAAUCCCAUCUUGACAGAUGCACCGACAAGUCAAGUACUUGACUACACCCAGCAGCCUUCCGUCAUUGAAUUAGAAAUUCAGGUAGUCCAGUGCCUAAGUGCAGUGAGUUGCUUGCAAGUCACCGUGGCGGUCUCAGGUUGGAGGGAUAUUUAUACCCAUAUUCCAUCGGAGCAAAUCUUGAUAGCAGAAAUAGC
Molecule: long non-coding RNA, 199 nt
Filed under: Elaeis guineensis (African oil palm)
Lineage: Eukaryota; Viridiplantae; Streptophyta; Magnoliopsida; Arecales; Arecaceae
Description: long non-coding RNA (EGUI_LNC077883)
Source: RNAcentral